Molecule: ribosomal RNA, 254 nt
Filed under: uncultured bacterium
Lineage: Bacteria
Description: partial 16S ribosomal RNA
Rfam family: Bacterial small subunit ribosomal RNA
Source: RNAcentral
UACGUAGGGGGCGAGCGUUGUCCGGAAUCAUUGGGCGUAAAGAGCUCGUAGGCGGUUCAGUAAGUCAGGUGUGAAAGCUCCGGGCUCAACUCGGAGAGGCCACCUGAUACUGCUGUGACUAGAAUCCAGUAGGGGAGUGUGGAACUCCUGGUGUAGCGGUGAAAUGCGCAGAUAUCAGGAAGAACACCAGCGGCGAAGGCGGCACUCUGGGCUGGAAUUGACGCUGAGGAGCGAAAGUGUGGGUAGCAAACAGG